UUUGCAUGUAAGCUGUGGGGGAAAACCCUUAAAUUUUGGGGGUUUUCAACCCUUUGAUUACGAUUGUUUUGAUUCUUGUGUUGUUUCCUGUCUAAUUUCAGAAAACCCUAAGCUAUAAAUUCGUCUCAUGUUCUCUGAUUCUUACUAAGCUUUGCAAGACCCUCUGAUUUCUCGCAUAGCUAUGUUCUUCUACUUUGAUUGCAUGACCACUAUGUUUGUUUAAUUAUAGCCUAUGCAUGUUUAAGCUUAUGCAUCCUUUAUAGUCAGACCUUUUCCUCUCAAAAUAACCCUAAUUUUUUGGGAUUGAUUUCAUAUCACCAUUAUGUGAGCAUAUUUGAAUUUUUUCUUGCUUAAUGUGGACCAGUUUUCUGACUUAGUUCAUUAUUAAGUAUGAAUCCUUAAU
RNAcentral lists this long non-coding RNA (403 nucleotides) under Nicotiana benthamiana. RNAcentral describes it as "long non-coding RNA (NBEN_LNC015050)". Lineage: Eukaryota; Viridiplantae; Streptophyta; Magnoliopsida; Solanales; Solanaceae. The record is from RNAcentral.